GCCGGUGGGGUAACCGCAAGGGGCCAGCCGUCGAAGGUGGGGUAGAUGAUUGGGGUGAAGUCGUAACAAGGUAGCCGUAUCGGAAGGUGCGGCUGGAUCACCUCCUUUCUAAGGAG
RNAcentral lists this ribosomal RNA (116 nucleotides) under Cohnella zeiphila. Its description in RNAcentral is "Cohnella sp. CBP 2801 partial 16S ribosomal RNA". It matches the Rfam family "Bacterial small subunit ribosomal RNA", at positions 1426 to 1533 of the family's 1533-position model. Lineage: Bacteria; Bacillati; Bacillota; Bacilli; Caryophanales; Paenibacillaceae. The record is from RNAcentral.